Long non-coding RNA from Juglans regia (Persian walnut), 974 nucleotides. RefSeq lists it as uncharacterized. Lineage: Eukaryota; Viridiplantae; Streptophyta; Magnoliopsida; Fagales; Juglandaceae. The transcript has 2 exons. The record is from RefSeq and is a predicted model, not a curated record.
CAUAAUUAUUGAAGGGGAUCAAAAGAAAAGGUAGUCAUCAGCAUAUCGAUUCCAAGUCUCUUCCCUGAAUUCACUCUGGCUUCCCUUUUUUGCCUCUUUUUUGUCAUCUGAUCUGGAAAGAAGGGAGGGAGUUCCUAUUAUUGUAUAAAGAGAUUCGACUCUUCCUCAGAUGGGGUCACGGACAGCUGAGCUAAGCCAACAUACUACAGCGAGCUUAACAGGUGCUCGGUUCGGUUUCCAUGGCCAGAUAUCUCUUCGUUGAAUGGGAAUUCGAAUUUUGCUUCCCUUUUGCCUGUUUUUGUAUAUAUUUAUAUUUCGUGUAACAAGUUGAGCUGUGGACAGGGGCCAGCGAAGGUCUGUAAGCUGGGUACAAGCGGCCCGUGUCAGAGCUGAGAGCGAGAGCGAGAGCGAAAGAGAGAGAUAGAGCGAGAGGUUCUUUUGGGAGAGAGAGUUAGAUUUUUCCUCAGUAUAAUGUUUGGAUCUGUUGUCUCAGACUGUGGCAGCAAAAAUGGGGAUGUUUAUGCAUGGCCAAACUACAAAAAGAUUAGUUCCUCCUGAUCAACUCCAUGUUCUCUUUCAGGGUAUGACUAUGACCUCUGCUUUCUUUUAUUUUCUUCUUCUUCCCCCCACCCCCACUUUUACAAUAGAAAAUUACCAUGCAACUACUACAAUCGUUAAGAAAUUUAUGGCUUCCCAUACCUUACACCUUGUAGCCUUUUAAUUUCCAGUGCUGACUCUGGCUCGUUUGAAGAGUAAAGAAUUCUUUUCUUUUGGGUCAAAAAUCAUCCUAAUCGGGACAGUGGUAUCUUAGGUCGAAGAUCUUGUGUAUGGGGAGGGGGAGGGGACCAUUUAUGUGGGGGCUUCUGUUUUUUGUCUUUUUUGGCCAGAACUUAACUGUGGUUGAUUCUCUGUUAUUGUUAACCCUUGUAUAAUUAGACUAACCAUGUUCUUCAACUUUAAGAUUGGUUGAUGUC